AGUGGUUUGGAGAUGAUCCUGAUUGGAAUGUCUUGAAGUGACUCGACACUACAGAGACCGUUCCAGUCACGUCAUGCGUGGCAUUGUUCAUCUCCAUUUUCGCAACUAUCUAUCACCCGACAGCGUACUGCAGAGAAGGAGAGCAGACGCACAGGCAGAAAGGUCAACAGAGAAAGAGAGAAGCGGAAGAAGAAGGAUGAAUACAAGGCCAAGUCAGAGCAGGCAAAGAAGACAUUCACGGUCACAGGGGGUCCAGAACCUAUCCCGGAAGCUAUGGGCAUGAGGUAGGAAACAACCCAGG
Molecule: long non-coding RNA, 301 nt
Organism: Paramormyrops kingsleyae
Lineage: Eukaryota; Metazoa; Chordata; Actinopteri; Osteoglossiformes; Mormyridae
Source: RefSeq, a predicted model, not a curated record